UCCGGUUUGUCACCGGCAGUCUCAUUAGAGUGCCCUUGCGUAGCAACUAAUGAUAAGGGUUGCGCUCGUUGCGGGACUUAACCCAACAUCUCACGACACGAGCUGACGACAGCCAUGCAGCACCUGUGUCCACUUUCCCUUUCGGGCACCUAAUGCAUCUCUGCUUCGUUAGUGGCAUGUCAAGGGUAGGUAAGGUUUUUCGCGUUGCAUCGAAUUAAUCCACAUCAUCCACCGCUUGUGCGGGUCCCCGUCAAUUCCUUUGAGUUUUAAUCUUGCGACCGUACUCCCCAGGCGGUCGACUUCACGCGUUAGCUGCGUUACCGAAGGAGUUACCCUCCGACAACUAGUCGACAUCGUUUAGGGCGUGGACUAC
Molecule: unclassified non-coding RNA, 373 nt
Filed under: uncultured Gammaproteobacteria bacterium
Lineage: Bacteria; Pseudomonadati; Pseudomonadota; Gammaproteobacteria
Description: contains 16S-23S intergenic spacer region
Source: RNAcentral